CACCUCCCACCCGUGUUUAUUUUACCUUGUUGCUUCGGCGGGCCCGCCUUAACUGGCCGCCGGGGGGCUUACGCCCCCGGGCCCGCGCCCGCCGAAGACACCCUCGAACUCUGUCUGAAGAUUGAAGUCUGAGUGAAAAUAUAAAUUAUUUAAAACUUUCAACAACGGAUCUCUUGGUUCCGGCAUCGAUGAAGAACGCAGCGAAAUGCGAUACGUAAUGUGAAUUGCAAAUUCAGUGAAUCAUCGAGUCUUUGAACGCACAUUGCGCCCCCUGGUAUUCCGGGGGGCAUGCCUGUCCGAGCGUCAUUGCUGCCCUCAAGCCCGGCUUGUGUGUUGGGCCCCGUCCCCCGAUCUCCGGGGGACGGGCCCGAAAGGCAGCGGCGGCACCGCGUCCGGUCCUCGAGCGUAUGGGGCUUUGUCACCCGCUCUGUAGGCCCGGCCGGCGCUUGCCGAUCAACCCAAAUUUUUAUCCAGGUUGACCUCGGAUCAGGUAGGGAUACCCGCUGAACUUAAGCAUAUCAAUAAGCGGAGGA
RNAcentral lists this ribosomal RNA (533 nucleotides) under Penicillium crustosum. Its description in RNAcentral is "eukaryotic LSU rRNA". The stretch from base 154 to 306 matches the Rfam family "5.8S ribosomal RNA". The record is from RNAcentral. Lineage: Eukaryota; Fungi; Ascomycota; Eurotiomycetes; Eurotiales; Aspergillaceae.